CACGGGUGAGUAACGCGUAGGUAUCUAUCCUUGGGUGGGGGACAACUGUGGGAAACUACAGCUAAUACCGCAUGAUGACCGAGGUCCAAAGCUCGCGAGAGCGCCUGGGGAGGAGCCUGCGUACGAUUAGCUUGUUGGUGGGGUAAAGGCCUACCAAGGCGACGAUCGUUAGCUGGUCUGAGAGGAUGAUCAGCCACAUUGGGACUGAGACACGGCCCAAACUCCUACGGGAGGCAGCAGUGGGGAAUAUUGGACAAUGGGCGCAAGCCUGAUCCAGCAAUGCCGCGUGUGUGAAGAAGGUCUUCGGAUUGUAAAGCACUUUCGACGGGGACGAUAAUGA
RNAcentral lists this ribosomal RNA (340 nucleotides) under uncultured bacterium. RNAcentral describes it as "bacterial SSU rRNA". It matches the Rfam family "Bacterial small subunit ribosomal RNA", at positions 100 to 454 of the family's 1533-position model. The record is from RNAcentral.